CACUGUCAAUCUAUCUACCACUGCUAAUCUAUGCCACUGCCAAUCUAUCUAUUGCUGCUAAUCUAUCGCUGCUGUCAAUCUAUCUACUGCUGUCAAUCUAUCUAUCACUGCCAAUCUAUCUACCACUGCCAAUCUACCUACCGCUGCCAAUCUAUCUACCACUGCUAAUCUAUCACUGCUAAUCUAUCGCUGCUAAUCUAUUGCUGCUAAUCUAUCUAUCACUGCUAAUCUAUUGCUGCCAAUCUAUCUACCGCUGCCAAUCUAUCUACCACUGCCAAUCUAUCUACCACUGCCAACCUAUCUACCACUGCUAAUCUAUCACUGCUAAUCUAUCGCUGCCAACCUAUCUACCACUGCUAAUCUAUCACUGCUAAUCUAUCGCUGCCAAUCUAUAUAGGGUAAAUCAUGGUCCCAUUUGAUCCCAUUUUGUAAAAUGGGAUCAAAUGGGACUGGAACCACUAAUUUAUUAGUAAAACAUAAUCUGAGACUAGAUUUAUAAUAUAAACAGUGUAAAGUGACUAAUUUAUUAAAUACUAUAUGAGAUCAGAACUAAGAUAUCUAAUAAUGGAACUGAGGAAAAAUUUGGUCCCAGUCCCAUGUAUGAUCAUAUAGCC
This 614-nucleotide small RNA is filed under the name Histoplasma capsulatum G186AR. RNAcentral describes it as "hypothetical RNA". The record is from RNAcentral. Lineage: Eukaryota; Fungi; Ascomycota; Eurotiomycetes; Onygenales; Ajellomycetaceae.